This 83-nucleotide non-coding RNA is filed under the name Cereibacter sphaeroides ATCC 17025. RNAcentral describes it as "chrB RNA". It matches the Rfam family "chrB-a RNA". Lineage: Bacteria; Pseudomonadati; Pseudomonadota; Alphaproteobacteria; Rhodobacterales; Paracoccaceae. The record is from RNAcentral.
CGCAUGGGGAUUGCGACGCCCCACGAGGCGCCAGCUGAAGAUCGCGUUCCACCCGCCACACCAGCCAAUGGGGAACGCACAUG